This 473-nucleotide ribosomal RNA is filed under the name Nedyus quadrimaculatus. RNAcentral describes it as "partial 16S ribosomal RNA". It matches the Rfam family "Bacterial large subunit ribosomal RNA", at positions 1833 to 2566 of the family's 2925-position model. Lineage: Eukaryota; Metazoa; Arthropoda; Insecta; Coleoptera; Curculionidae. The record is from RNAcentral.
CUUUUGAUUUGAAUUUAAGGUCUGGCCUGCUCAAUGAAUUUUUAAUAGCCGCAGUAUCUUAACUGUGCAAAGGUAGCAUAAUCAUUAGUUUUUUAAUUGAAAGCUAGAAUGAACGGUCGAAUGAGAAAAUUUCUGUCUCUAUAAAAAUUUUAUAGAAUUUUAUUUUUAAGUUAAAAAGCUUAAAUAUGGGUAAAAGACGAGAAGACCCUAUAGAGUUUAAUAUUUAUUAAUUAUUUUUUUUUUUAAUAUUUUAAGAUUAAUAAUUUUAUGGUAUUUAAUUGGGGUGAUUGGAAAAUUAAUUAAACUUUUCUUAUAAAUAGACAUUUAUUUAUGAAAUUAUGAUCCUUUAAUAAAGAUUAUAAGAUAAAAUUACCUUAGGGAUAACAGCGUAAUUUUUUUUAAGAGUUCUUAUCGAAAAAAAAGAUUGCGACCUCGAUGUUGGAUUAAAAUAAAUUUUUGGUGUAGAAGCUAAA